Molecule: long non-coding RNA, 924 nt
Organism: Camponotus floridanus (Florida carpenter ant)
Lineage: Eukaryota; Metazoa; Arthropoda; Insecta; Hymenoptera; Formicidae
Exons: 2
Source: RefSeq, a predicted model, not a curated record
UGGGUGAUAAAACGUUCGUUCUUACCGGUAAGGAUUAUAUCAUUCGGCAUCCAGAUGAUAAAAGUACAUGUGUAACCGUCUUCUGGAAACACGAGUCAGCAUAUGACGAUUAUGUAAAAUGGGUUCUGGGGAUGCCAUUUAUUGGCCGUUACUACACUGAGUUUGAUGUGGAUAGAGGCCGAGUGGGAUUUGCUUUGGCGAAAAAUGUAUAAAAUUUAUCAAAAUGUAUAGAAAAUCUUUCAUUGUCACCUUUUAUUGUGUACUUAUCAUCAUUUUUUUAAAUUAUUUGUUUAAUUUUCGAUAAGAAAACAUUUAAUUUUUAAUCGCCAACCGACAAAGUUCGCAGAUUAUCAAUGUGAAUUUUUGCGUAAUGCCUACAUAACUGCGACUUAAUUUUCUACAGCAAUACUUUAUCGUGAAUGCAACUGAUAUGUGCUUAUGGUUAUUUGGAAUUUUUGCGAGUAAUUGCAUUCGCUAAGGUCAUUGUUGUAUGGCCAUCUAAUAAUCGAUAUAAUGAAUCUAUACUUCCGGAAAGCUGAUUACUCCUUCAUUAUCAAUCUUAAUUUAGCGCACACUUAAUAAUUUAUUUUAAAACAAUUUGUUUUAAUUAUAACACAAAAUAUUAAAUAAAAUAUUUUUAAAUUUGAUUGAUCAAUAGGACGGAUGAUCAAUAAGAAAAGUUAUGUUUCGAAUGCGAGCGAUUGUAUAUAUAACGGCCGCUAAAUGUCGAUGUAAAUGAUAGCUCUAGUAGACGAGUACAAUUUCUUUUUGUAUGUCGUAACGUACAGAAAGAAAUUUACUGGAAAUUUCGAAAACAUGUUCCUCUUUCUCGUGAUGCUGACCGAAAUCCAAAACUAAGUUUAUACAUUGUAUUGUAAGUUUAAGUUACAUAUCAGUAUAAUAAAUAUUGAAUUUAAGAAUUGA